GCCGGGUCUUGUAAGCCGCCCCGAGCCCUAGGGGAGUGGCGGCAUAUAAGUUUGAAAAAUAAAUAAAUAAAUAAAUAAUUUUUUAUAUAUGCAUUUUAUUGUAAGCCGCCCUGAGUCCCCUGUUGGGUGAGAAGGGCGGGAUAUAAAUAUUGUCAUAAAUAAAUAAAUAAACAUUGCAUGGAAAGUUCCUUGACAAAAUUGAAGGAAAAGCUGAUAAGGAGAAGACCUGGCUCUGGCUCACGAAUGGGACCCUGAAGAAGGAGACAGAAGGCCUGAUCCCUGCAGCCCAGGAGCAAGCCAUCAGAACAAAUGCAAUUAAGGCCAAGAUUGGAAAAUCAGCUGAUGACCCAAAAUGCAGACUGUGCAAGGAAACCGACAAAACCAUUGAUCAUAUCCUCAACUGCUGUAAGAAAAUCGCACAGACAGACUACAAACAGAGGCAUAACUAUGUGGCCCAAAUGAUUCAUUGGAACUUAUGCUUCAAGUACCACAUCCCAGCAGCAAAGAACUGGUGGGAUCACAAACCUGCAAAAGUAUUGGAAAAUGAGCACGCAAAGAUACUGUGGGACUUCCGAAUCCAGACUGACAAAGUUCUGGAACACAACACACCAGACAUCACAGUUGAGGAAAAGAAAAAGGUUUGGAUCAUUGAUGUUGCCAUCCGAGGUGACAGUCGCAUUGACGGAAAAUAACAGGAAAAACUCAGCCGCUAUCAGGACCUCAAGAUUGAACUUCAAAGACUCUGGCAGAAACUCGUCAAUGCGACUGUCACCUGGGAUGGCAACAUCAAUGAUCCAAACCUUUUUCUUUUCCACAACUGUGAUGUCUGGUGUGUUGUGUUCCAGAACUUUGUCAGUCUGGAUUCAGAAGUCCCACAGUAUUUUUGCAUGUUCAUUUUCCAAUACUUUUGCAGGUUUGUGAUCCCACCAGUUCUUUGCUGCUGGAAGGUGGUACUUGAGGCAUAAGUUCCAAUGAAUCAUUUGGGCCACAUAGUUGUGCCUCUGUUUGUAGUCUGUCUGUGCAAUUUUCUUACAGCAGCUGAAGAGAUGAUCGGUUUCCUUGCACAGUCUGCAUUUUGGGUCAUCAGCUGAUUUUUCAAUCUUGGCCUUAAUUGCAUUUGUUCUGAUGGCUUGCUCCUGGGCUGCAAGGAUCAGGCAUUAUUAUUAUUAUGAUGAUGAUGAUUAUUAUUCUAAUUGAGCCAUUGUGACAUGUCACUUUCCUUAUAUAAUAACAGAGUUCCAGCAACCAUAUCCCCUAUCUAUUUACCCCUAGCAAAAUUAAUGGCUGAAUAAAUACGAUUGCUUCUGUCCCUCAGGUGGAGAAACGCCAUCCAAGAAAUAUUACAAGUUAGUGUGUUAUUAACCCAACUAAGAAUUAUCGCAGUGCUAAGUCAUGUAAGCACUCAUGUCAGAAAUUCCUGUCAGUUCUCACAUUUUCACCAACCAGGAGGAUGUUAUGAUAGCAAAAAAUCACAAAACUGUUUUGAGUGCAGGAGGUGUUCUGGUGCUCUUUUUCUUGUCAGCUGUGAAACAUUCCAGGCCCAUAUCUAUAACAAGCAGGUAUGACACCACUUGGGAUGCAGACCACUGCUGCCAGAAUUCCUGUUCGAAGUGUUUACACAGCCAUACCCUCUCAAAUACCAAAUUGCAUAAACAAGAUUGUGGAACGCUAGGGAGAAAGAAGUGCUUGGCUUGAGCAAAGACAGAUGUCACAUUCCUUGCUGGAGUCGCAGGGGAUGCUUACUUUGCAUUGUCAAUCCAGCCAAAGAUUCCUCAGUUCUUUUUGGCAUUUGUGAAUUUUUGCUCUGCUCUCCUUGAGAGCCAUCUCUGCAGAUAUCUGGGAUGACUACAAAUAAGCAGCUUUACAAUGGGUUUUGCAGCUAUUACAUUUUAUACUAUUGAGUGGGAGAAAAAGCCAGUUUGGUGUCUGAAUAUCCUUAUCCAAAUAAUAUGCCACCCUAUUUUAAUUGCUGGUCAGAGAGCCUGUGUUAAUGAAUAGAGGCUAAUGGUAAGGGGUAAUCAAGGAAAGAGGAAAAACUGACUCAAGUGAGAUUUAUUUAUUUGCUUGCUUACUUUAUUUGCUUUAUUUAUACCCUGUUUUUCCCACCAUGGAGACUCAAGGUGAUGAACAACCAUACACCAUUUAAAACAAUUUUUUUAAAUGAAUAAUACUAUGUGGGUUAGGUUAAAAUAUAGUUAAAAUAUAAUAGAGGUAUCUGUCUUCAUAUAACCAAGCUUUUUCAUGCAUUUGAAGCGUGGAGCUUUGGAGUUCUUAAUCUUUACUGAUCUGCCCAACUUUUCCUCCUCUGUAAAACUUUGUAGAUUUUUUUUAAAAAAAGCAAUGGUUCCCAAACUGUUGGCCAUGGCCCACUGGUGGACCACGAGACCUAAAAUAAGGUCCGCAAGACAUGCGGAGAAAAUUGGUGCCAGAGCCUGUUUCUGGGGUUAUUUGGGCACUGAUUCAGAAAAUGGCAUUGGAUAGACCACAUCAGCUCUAAAUUAUUAAAUAUGGUUUUCUAUGGGUGAACAGAUGGCAACUACUGGAUGACAUAUGUUCUGUAUCAGAAACUAGAGCUGAUGUGGUCUGUCCAAUACAAUUUUCUGAAUCAGCACCUCAACUAACCAAACCAAAUUUAAAGUUGACCAAAACCGGAUUUGUAACCCUUUUGGUACUAAUGUUGGAAAGUGGUCUUUGGUCAAUGUCGUCCCCGGUCAAAGUGGUUCCUGGUCAAAAAUAAAAGGUUAGGAACUACUGUUUUAAAGGAAGGUGACUAUGUUGUUCUAUAAAAACAAUAUGAACUUCCAUUAUUGUGGAACAGUAGUUGGUCAUAAUAGAGAUAUCACUUGCUUGUGAAUUAGGUUGUGGGGGGUUCUUAUUUCUGGGUUUCAUGCACAUGUUUUGGAAAAUACCAUGUUUGGGGCAGAAUCUAUUCCUGAAAAAAUAAGGGUUUUUUUUUAAAUGCCAAAGAAGAUAUUGUACUAUAUGUUACAUAAUUUUAUCCUUUUGGGAUUCUUUAAUUCGGUCCCCCCCCCCCCUGCAAAAAUUAAUUUGUAAUUUUGCUUAUUAAGGACUGUGUUAUUUCUUUUCAAAGAGUUAGCCAUGUUAAUUUCUCACAGCAUACGAAGGGAGAAGUGUGAAGGGGGGAAGAGGAUUGUAGCAGCAACUUUGAAUUUAACUGGAUUUUAUUUUAGGUGGACCUUUUAUGGCUCUAAACCCACUUCUUCAGAUGCAGUACAGUGAUAUUAAGGCCUCGGGUGUAACACAUACUUAUAAAGUUUUGGAUUGGAACAGAGCAUAAUAGCAUCCAGAAAGAUCCAAAUCAUAUUCCUUGCCUUAAAUUUUCUUUCUAUUUCUGCUGUAUCACAUAACAGGACCACAUGUUUCACUUGAGAUAGUGGACAGUUUUCUGGGUUGCAACCAGCUUUAUCUCAAACAGGCAUCAUCAGAUGCAGUCCAAAUCCUGCACUCUAACUAGUGAUUCACCAAGUGUUCAUUUUCUAUCUUGGUUUGAUCAUGAACUCAUGGCUAGCAUCUCCUACCUGCACUCCCAAUCUUUUUUAUAGCUCACUAACCUAAUGAAGGCUAUUACAGGCAAAGAUGAAGUACUCUGGCCACAUAAUGAAAAGACAGGAAAUCUUGGAGAAGAGAAUGAUUCUGGGGAAAAUAGAAGGAAAAAGGAAGAGGGGCCGACCAAGGGCAAGAUGGAUGGAUGGUAUCCUUGAAGUGACUAGCUUGACCUUGAAGGAGUUGGGGGUGGUGAUGGCUGAUAGGGAGCUCUGGCAUGGGCUGAUCCAUGAGAUCAUGAAAAGUUAGAAGUGACUGAACGAAUAAACAACAAACUAGCCUAAUGAAGAAUUCUGCAUGAUACUGCAGAAGUGUAGUAGGUCCUAAGGUACAGCACACCUAUAGGUUGUAUUAAGGCCCACGCUGCAUGAUAAAAAUCCACAAAAGAUCUUAUGACACCUUCAUCAAAUGUAUGUGAUAGUAGCCUUAAGCUUUGUUCACUCAUUGCUUCUCUCUUUCUUGUUUAAUCGUAAUUCUUACCUGGAGAGGGACAAGUCUGAACAGGAGAGCUUGCCCUAGAAGUGGAUGCUCUCCACGCAAUGAAGAACAACAUCUUCGCAUCCAGAGGAGGAGGGGAAGAAGAAGAGGAGAAGGAGGAGAUCAUACAGUGAAGAAACAAUUUCAAGAGUAGUCAUAUUGGCCAUGCAACAUAAUACAACAAAAUCCACAAAAAAGUAAUACAACAAAAAUAUUCAAAAUACAUCAUGCAAGCAAUUGAAGCUUCACUGGGAAAAGAUACUAAAGUCUUACAGAAGACCAAAAAUAGCAUUCACAGAUCUAUAUUUUUAUUAGAUGUUGAAUUGCAGUCAGUUUGGAGGAGGGAUUUCAAUGCAGGCAGAGGCCACUCCUCUUCUGGGCCAUGUGAGACCUGGGACAAAGGGCAGUCAAAUUUAAAUUCUAUUAGCAGCAGUACAGUAAAUUCUAUUGGGAUCCAGGAUGUCUUUUUUCAAAUUGAGCUAGGUACAUCUGCCUGUUUAUAUGAGGGUGGGUCAAAAAGUUUUGUCUCCCAUGUCAUAAAAACAUUAUGAAUGAACAUAUAACAGCAGAAGCUGCUACAGAUCAUAGCCUGAACUAUCCUUACACAAAACUACCAUUCAACAUAGUCACCAUCAGUUUGUACAAAUUCAUGCCAUCAUGUAACCUAGGCAUCAAAACCUUUUUGGAAAAAUUCAGGGUUUUGCUUCGUGAUCCAUGAUUUUAAAGCUGUUUUGAUGUCAUUCAAGUCCUUGAAUCUGAAAUCACGUACGUUGUCUUUUUGGACCUCUGAAAGACAACCUAAACGGUUUCAGAUUCAAGGACUUGAAUGAUGUUAAAACAGCUUUAAAAUGAUGGGUCACGAAGCAAAACCCUGAAUUUUUCCAAAAUGAUUUUGAUGCCCGGGUUAAACGAUGGCACGGAUGUGUACAAAUUGACGGCUAGCAUGUUGCACAGUAGUUUUGCGUAGAGCAAUGUGGUCCAACCCACGGGCUGCGGGCCACAUGCAGCCCACCAAUUCAUUUUUGUUGGCCCUUGCCCUUCUUACUGGAAAAAUAUUUUAAUUUAACAUUUGGAAAAAAUAGUUUACCCUUCUUACUGCUUUAAGUUUUUAAGAAGCGGCCAUAUAACGGCCAUAUUAAAGCCUCACAUUCCUAUACCAAAGUUUGAUUGGCCCUUGGGUAACUAUGACUAAACAGUCCCCUAAAUAACCUGGCCCCGAUUAGAACUUGAAAUCUGUCCUUACACUUUACUAUUGCCCUCUAUCCAAAGAUAUUAUUCCCCAUCUUAUAUUGCUCACCCCUACUCAUCGAACUUACGCACUUUUUCCAUUAGCCCUAUUUUCAAAGGUGAGUUGCGCCAGCCCGCCCAUCCGUGCCUAGAAAUGGACUUUAUCACAGGCUCAUUGAUUGUUGGUUCGAGAUUGUUUUUAUUCUAUCACAACUGCUAUGUUGCUAUAAUUGUUGUUUUAUUCUCCUUUAUGAUACUAUGUAUGUAUUUUAAUGUGAUUAUAUUUUAUGAUAUUGACCGGGCUCGUCCCCAUGUAAGCUGCUCCGAGUCCCCUGGGGAUAUGGAGACAGGGUACAAAAAUUAAGUUAUAUUAUUAUUAUUAUUAUUAUUAUUAUUAUUAUUAUUAUUAUUAUUGUUAUAGUUUGCUU
This 5696-nucleotide long non-coding RNA is filed under the name Anolis carolinensis (green anole). RNAcentral describes it as "lncRNA (ENSACAG00000042141.1)". Lineage: Eukaryota; Metazoa; Chordata; Lepidosauria; Squamata; Anolidae. The record is from RNAcentral.